RNAcentral lists this ribosomal RNA (361 nucleotides) under Halomonas sp. SD-38. RNAcentral describes it as "bacterial SSU rRNA". It matches the Rfam family "Bacterial small subunit ribosomal RNA", at positions 65 to 424 of the family's 1533-position model. The record is from RNAcentral. Lineage: Bacteria; Pseudomonadati; Pseudomonadota; Gammaproteobacteria; Oceanospirillales; Halomonadaceae.
AGCGGAAACGAUGGAAGCUUGCUUCCAGGCGUCGAGCGGCGGACGGGUGAGUAAUGCAUAGGAAUCUGCCCGAUAGUGGGGGAUAACCUGGGGAAACUCAGGCUAAUACCGCAUACGUCCUACGGGAGAAAGCAGGGGAUCUUCGGACCUUGCGCUAUCGGAUGAGCCUAUGUCGGAUUAGCUAGUUGGUGAGGUAACGGCUCACCAAGGCGACGAUCCGUAGCUGGUCUGAGAGGAUGAUCAGCCACACUGGGACUGAGACACGGCCCAGACUCCUACGGGAGGCAGCAGUGGGGAAUAUUGGACAAUGGGGGAAACCCUGAUCCANCCAUGCCGCGUGUGUGAANAAAACCUUCCGGUU